Molecule: long non-coding RNA, 531 nt
Organism: Eucalyptus grandis
Lineage: Eukaryota; Viridiplantae; Streptophyta; Magnoliopsida; Myrtales; Myrtaceae
Exons: 2
Source: RefSeq, a predicted model, not a curated record
GAGAACGCACGUACACGGUGCUCAGCAAAUUCUGUCUCGUAUCGUCAAUUUCCAGGAACUUCUAGGUUGCGAUUCCCUCUUCAUACUCGGCCCCCUCCAGUCCACCGGUAGCCGCUGCUCGUCUCCUACCGCCGACCACCAUAGUCUUUUCGCAUUUAAACCCCAGAGAAUAGAACAGAGUACAGGGAAGGAAUUCUUAUGUUUAUUUGUGAUUCUCUCUUGCUGUCCUCUAUGAAUCCUCACCUCUCUCUCUGUCACUGAUUGCCUUCGCAGGCUACUUCCCCAACACCACCAGCUUCGCAGCCACAGAACUUGCAAGGAAAGAAUGCAGGCAUACCGUAAAUUGAGCAUUAUAUAUACAGAGAAGCAAACGGAUGCACAGCAUGCUCUGGCUAGUUUGGGAAAGGAGCAGCAUAUGCAGUUUACUAUUUUCACAAGUAUUCCAAACGUUAUUGAAGAUACUUUAUGUAAGGAUGCACUUGACAGUAUUUCGACUACGAGUGAUGUAACUUGACUGGUUUAAUUUCUGAA